CCCUUCAGAGGGGGACAACAGUUGGAAACGACUGCUAAUACCGCAUACGAUCUGACCUCGGCAUCGAGGAUGGAUGAAAGGUGGCCUCUAUUUAUAAGCCAUCACUGAAGGAGGGGAUUGCGUCUGAUUAGCUAGUUGGAGGGGUAACGGCCCACCAAGGCGAUGAUCAGUAGCCGGUCUGAGAGGAUGAACGGCCACAUUGGGACUGAGACACGGCCCAG
This 221-nucleotide ribosomal RNA is filed under the name uncultured bacterium. RNAcentral's name for it is "partial 16S ribosomal RNA". It matches the Rfam family "Bacterial small subunit ribosomal RNA", at positions 129 to 334 of the family's 1533-position model. The record is from RNAcentral.